UACGGAGGGGGCUAGCGUUAUUCGGAAUUAUUGGGCGUAAAGGGCGUGUAGGCGGUCAGGUAAGUGAGAUGUGAAAUGCCCCGGCUCACCCGGGGACCGGCAUCUCAUACUGCUUGGCUUGAGUACGGGAGAGGAUGUGGGAAUUCCUGGUGUAGCGGUGAAAUGCGUAGAUAUCGUAAGGAAGACCAGUGGCGAAGGCGGGUCUCUGGACAGUUCCUGACACUGAGACACGAAGGCCAGGGGAGCAAACGGG
Molecule: ribosomal RNA, 253 nt
Filed under: uncultured bacterium
Lineage: Bacteria
Description: partial 16S ribosomal RNA
Rfam family: Bacterial small subunit ribosomal RNA
Source: RNAcentral